Molecule: unclassified non-coding RNA, 1093 nt
Filed under: Hevea brasiliensis (rubber tree)
Lineage: Eukaryota; Viridiplantae; Streptophyta; Magnoliopsida; Malpighiales; Euphorbiaceae
Source: RNAcentral
AUUAAAAAAAAAAAAAAAAUCUAACCAUCAUUAAAGAAUGUGCCAAUCAAAAUAACAAUUCUUUGGCUGAAGAUAUUAUAGGAAGCAGAUCCAUUAUAAACGCAAGAUCCUGAGGAAAACAUGAAAUUUGUUCAAUUGGUGUGAAGAAUGCAAGAAGUUGUCUUGACAGCAUUCCAUGAUAAGUUCUCAACUUUUGUUUAUUCUAUUCUCUCUUAUAACAACUAUGAGACUAUUACAUUAUCCUAAUCCCAUAAGAGAGAAGAAGCUAUGGAAAACAAUUGCCCACUACAGUAAAAGAAACUGUUAGAUAGUGAUAAAUUAAUUUAUACUCCUUGAAGUAAAUGAGUGAAGCGAAUAACAUAAGUCUUUUUGAUGAGAUAGCCAAAAGUAACAUUGUUAUUCACUUAUAAAUACACUAUUGUACCUAGAUUACUCAUAUGCCCUUGCAAGAAAGAUUCCUCUGAAUGCAAAAAAAUUCACUAACAGAAACACAUCACAAACAGCUGGGGAUCUCUAGAAAGGCAUGCUCUAGUACCUAAAACAGGUAUGACCACAGGUUAAAAAAAAGGCUAAGGAAGUUGCACUUUUUUCUAGCUACGCUUGCAACGUUGAACAUUGCCUAAGCACCUCAGGAAAAAUCAGAUUAAUGAAUUGGACCAAGUUACCAAGAGGAUGGAAAAAUAGGGAAUUAUUUCUACCAUAAGUAUCUAAAGCACAAAGCAAGAACAUGAACCAGCAUAAAGUCCGAAACACCUCCACGUCUUGAAAGUGCAGCAAAUUCGCAUGCAUGAUCACAUUAGUUAAAAAGUAAAACAGAUCAACAAGACUCGAAAUUUCAAAUGGAAAAUAAAAGGUAAUGUUCACACACCAAAAAAAGGGAAGAAGAUCUUAUAGCUAAAGAAAGUUUCAUUCAAUCAUAUGUUCUGUGCCAAGAAGCCCAAGGCCAUGCCUACAUUAACAUUUUUUUAUCAAAAGAACCUAGAGUUGCAGUGAAAGUAUGCUUAUUAAAAUUUAGGAUCCAGCUAAACCUACAAAGUCUCAUCUAGAUAUGCCGAUUUACUGCACCAUAUUAAAUUCUGAGCCUAACAUUUUU